GUCGAUAUAGUUUAAUUGGUUAAAAUAAUAUCCUUGUAAGAUUUAGCUAGUGGUUCGAGUCCAUUUUUCGGCA
RNAcentral lists this transfer RNA (73 nucleotides) under Flammulina velutipes. RNAcentral describes it as "tRNA-Thr". It matches the Rfam family "tRNA". From Rfam's summary of the family: Transfer RNA (tRNA) molecules are approximately 80 nucleotides in length. Their secondary structure includes four short double-helical elements and three loops (D, anti-codon, and T loops). Further hydrogen bonds mediate the characteristic L-shaped molecular structure. tRNAs have two regions of fundamental functional importance: the anti-codon, which is responsible for specific mRNA codon recognition, and the 3' end, to which the tRNAs corresponding amino acid is attached (by aminoacyl-tRNA synthetases). tRNAs cope with the degeneracy of the genetic code in two manners: having more than one tRNA (with a specific anti-codon) for a particular amino acid; and 'wobble' base-pairing, i.e. permitting non-standard base-pairing at the 3rd anti-codon position. The record is from RNAcentral. Lineage: Eukaryota; Fungi; Basidiomycota; Agaricomycetes; Agaricales; Physalacriaceae.